This is a long non-coding RNA of Lycium ferocissimum, 1461 nucleotides long. RefSeq lists it as uncharacterized. The transcript has 3 exons. The record is from RefSeq and is a predicted model, not a curated record. Lineage: Eukaryota; Viridiplantae; Streptophyta; Magnoliopsida; Solanales; Solanaceae.
AUUCUUUUAUUGCAACUAUGUGAACUUUAAUAUACCUAGCAUAUUAUAGAGAUAUAAAGUUUACUGUCAGUAGUGCUAUAUAUUAAUCCUUUAGUUAAUAUAAAAAGGCAAAUUGAUGAAUAAAAAUGACACGUAUUAUAAUCUCAAAGAUCGCAUAUAAUCUUUCAAUUCUCUCAGGAAUUAUUUAUUGUAUCAGGUGGAAUUUCAUGCUGAAGAUUCACUUUUUCAUCCAGUAAGUUACCUGUCAUGUGUUUACUUUUUGAAGCCCUCAGUUAAACUUUUUAUUGUUGUUUAUUUUUCUUUCAAAAGUGACUUACAAAACCUGUACACUGAUUGUAUAUUAUAUGUAUAUUUCGUGUAUACAAUAUGUAUAUUUUUAUACUUAAUAUACAAAAGCUAAACAUUUUGUUGGCUAAUAUUCCUUUGAGCGGUACGAAAAUGUAAUCAUCUCAAUUUAUUGGGGCAUGAUUCUCCAUAUUGGUGAAAAAAGUUGUAAUCUUUGCUGGUUUGACUAGCAAUUUUAGCCUUUUCUGAGUACUUUAGUCAUUAAUGGUGAAAAAAAGUUGUAAGCUUUGCAUCUGGGUGUAACUGUACUUGUUUGUAAUUAAGGGGUUGAGGAAACUAUUUUUCUGUGUAGAUUACCCUUUUCUAAGUACUUUAAUCCUUAAUGGUGAAAAAAGUCUUAACCUUUGCAUGUGGGGUUAACUAUUUUUCUUUGUCUAUUAUCUUUCUCUGAGGAAAUUGGGUUUUGUUAGAGCAUUGUUGUUUGAGUACUUUAGUCCUUAAUUGGUGAAAAAGUUUUAAUCUUUGCAGCUGGGAUUUACUAUUUUUCUUUGUAGAUUACCUUUCUCUGAGCAAAUUGGGUUUUGUUAGAGCAUUGUUGUUUGAGUACUUUAGUCCUUAAAUGUGAAAAAACGCUCUAGUCCUCAUUGGUGAAAAAAAGUCUUAAUCUUUGCAUCUGGAGUUAAAUACGCUUGUUUGUAAUUAAAGGGUUGAGGAAAGUUUUAAUCUUUGCAUCUGGGGUUAACUGUAUUUGUUUUGUAAUUAAGGGGUUGAAGAAAUGGUACUUUUAGCAGAGCACUGUUGCCUGAGUACUUUAGUUCAUACUGGUGAAAAAAAGUUCAAAUCUUUGCAUCUGGGGUUAACUGUAUAGAGGAAGUACUAGUGGGGUUUUAAGCUUAUCCAUGGCUUGAGGAAAUUAGGCUUAAGAGAAUGUUUGUUUGUGAUGAGUCGUUGAAGUUGGUUGCUAAUUUGUUUGUGAUGAGUCACUGGAGUUGGUUGCUAAGGCUUUUAAAAAUUUUAAAGUCUUGGGUUUAUGGUCUUGUGAAGGUUUUACUACUGAUGGACUUGCUGCUAUUGCUGCUAACUACAGGUUUGAAUAGCAUUUUAAGCUGUACUUUUCUUUGAAAAUUACCCUUUUCUGAGUACUUUAGUCUUUACUGGUGAAAAAAAGUUAUAAUU